Molecule: ribosomal RNA, 588 nt
Filed under: Triticum aestivum (bread wheat)
Lineage: Eukaryota; Viridiplantae; Streptophyta; Magnoliopsida; Poales; Poaceae
Description: partial small subunit ribosomal RNA
Source: RNAcentral
AUGGGGUGCGGCUUCUCUUCGGGGGCGUCGGGCGGCGGUGGCGGGCUGCGGCCGUUCGCGGGGGUGCGGGUGAUCCACACCAACGGCUACGUGGAGGACUUCCCCGCCGGCGAGGACGGGGCGCCCGUCACCGUCGCGCGCGCCACCGCCUCCUCCCCCUCGUCGUGCCGGUACGUGCUCUGCUCGUCGGCGCACCUGCUGCAGCCGGGCCGCGCGCUGUUCCGGCCGGAGGACGCGCUGCAGCCGGGCACCGUCUACUUCCUGCUCCCGCACUCCAUCUUCCAGGCCGAGUCCUCCGCCGUGGACCUCGCCUGCCUCAUGAACCGCCUCACCGCGCUCGCGCGCAAGGGCGGCGGCCCGGCGCCCAGCGCCGUCGACUCGCUCUUCUCCGGCGACGCCCAGCACCGCCGCGGCAGCCCCGAAGCCGAGGGCCAGACCGCGAAGCCGCCCCGCCCCGCCCCCAAGAGCUGCGCCGCCGCCGCAUCGACGGGGCCGUGGCGGCCGCGGCUCGACCGGAUCGACGAGUCCAUGGGCCGCUCCUCCAUGCGGAGCGCGUCCACCCUGAGCAACCGCAGCAGCCAGGACUAG